CCACUGUAAAACUUUGCCUCGACCCCACUGCAUGGUUAUGGGGCUGUAAAGCUGCAGGAAUGCCAAGAUCGUGGCUGGUCAAGGACAGGGAGGGAAGGAGAAGGUGGGGAGGAGGAACAAAAAGCUGAGGCGAGAGCCUGGAGAAGGGGGACCUGCUGUCUGUUUGAACUUCACUGGGCAGGAGGCAGCCCUGGACCUGCACCCAGACCUGGGCCUGCACACCACAGGAGCAUACAAUGGUGCUGUGCAUGUCUUGUCCUGGCAUCAGAGGCAAGUGAUGGGAACUGCCAAGACGGGACUGGUGGGUUUGGCAGAGAUGGGCAGCAGGGUGGAGAUCUGGAGAAGACUCCACGGACGCCCACCUCACUGCCACAGAAGACCCCACAAACUGUGGCACUGACUUUCAGAAUGGGUCUGGUUCUCAACUUUAUCAUCCUCCCACAGCGACUAAUGUAGCGUCUCCCCUGUGGUUGAUAGCUACUCUUCCAAGGUUAUGCUGUUUGAUGUUUUCUUGUCUCAGGCUGUAAAGUUAUCCAUUGACUUGGAAAAACACAAUUAAGAGAGACAGAGCCGUCAGGCAGGUUCUUCAGGUAUCUCUGCAGACAGCAAAGGACUGCAGAGAAGUGGCUGCUGGUGAGCAUUGCAAAGGCUGCUUGAGGCUGGGAAUGGUCUCACGCAGCCCAGGGACAGGAGACAGCCCCUGUGAAGGCUCAGCAUCCUCCACUCACCUGAUUCAGGUUCAGGUUGGAUAUUAGGAGAAAUUUCUCCUCAGAAAGAGUGGUGAGGCAGUGGCACAGGCUGCCCAGGGACGUGGUGGAUUCACGGUCCCUGGAGGUGUUCAAGAAUAGGGUUGAUGUAUCACUGAGUGACAUGCGUUAACGGGCAUGAUGGGAACGGGUUGAUGGUUGGACUAGAUCUUAGAGGUCUUUUCCAGCCUUAUUUCUGAUUCUAUGAUUGUGUGACCUGUGAGGCCGAUGGGGAAGGGAGUGGGACAACAGAAUGUCCUGGAGGCAGGACAUGGCAGGAGAGAGAUGACGUGGUGGGACAAGACAGCCCUGCAGGGAGCAGGGGAUGGCGACCCUGCGCUGGGAAACCCCAAGGCAUCCCCAUCACUGUGCUCUGGGGCUGGCUGUAGCUCAGUGGCUGGCGGUGGCUCGUGCUUUCCCAGCCAGCUCCCAGCAGUUGUUUGCCCACCAUUAUUUAAGCAUUCGUCUUGUUCAAGCACCACUUCAGGGCAGGCUGGCUGCUGCCCUGGUGCUGCAGGGCUGGCCGUAUCUUGCAGAAAAGCAACAAGAGCCUUCCUUCUCCCCUCCCUCACUUUCCCCAGGGCCUCUAUUACCCCAAAUAAACACUCACUUUGGGUAAUAGUUAACUUUAAUGGCUCUGUCCCGGCUUCAGCUGUGUGAUAGGGAACCAGAGGGAGACGUGUGGGGUUUAUAGUCCUCAGGAUGGAGGAGAUGAGGGAGGCUGGAAGGGAAGCACUCAUGGCCACUGUCACGGCACGCUGCACCGCUCCCACCAAGUGGGAGCAAUCUCUCCAUCUCCCUCUCCAAACUCCAGCCCUGCUUGGUUGCUCCUGUUCCUGCCCUUGUGUUUUCAUAGAAUUGUGUUGUAUAUCACCCACCAUGUUCUGCCUCCACCCAGACAUUCUGUUAUCCCACUCUCUGCCCUAUUGGCAGCACAGGUCAUAGAAUCGUACAAUCAUUAAGGUUGGAAAAGACCACUAAGAUCUGGAUAAUUUGAGAUAAAAGUGAGCCCAGUUCCUAUUACUGAAAUUGCAAUAGCGCACAGAGAUGCUGUGGUCUCGGUGCCACUGUGGCAUCGGUGGCUUCAUGGCCUGGUGGGAUUGUUCAGGGAGACCCCUGAAGAGGAGGGCAGUUCCCUCCUCAGAGGGAAGGUCCUGAUGGGAAACAGCCAGCUCUGGGGUUGCUUUGGGAAAAGCUGGGAGAGCAGAAGAACAAAGGAAAUGUUCAGGGUCAGAAAGGAGCAGAGAAGAGAUGCAGAGAGAUGAGAGCAAACUGUAAAAGCUCGCAGGCUGCAGGAGCAGCGUGGAAACACUGGGGGACAGCGGAUGACCACGAGAGCUGUGCAAGGUGGUGGGAGCUCCAGACAUUCCGGCAGGUUUCACAGCCCUGGAUGCUCACCCUGAGCAUCUCCACUCCUGGCCACGGUGGUGGGACAGAGCCUUCCAUGUCCUACUCCUCCCAUCCCAGGCACAUGGCUUCCCCCAGCAUGGCCAAACGUUGCUGUUCCAGGAGAAACCCAAUCAUGUGCCCACCAUUCACCUGAGCCCUCUAAUCCCCUAAUCCGUCACCAAGGAGACCCAGGCACUACCUGGGCUGUGGGAAGCAGAGGGGCCCCGGAGCUGGAGGAUCAAUUCCUGGCACCAUUAUCACGCAGAGAGGGAUGGACCAGAGAGACCUCACAACUUGAUGCUCCAGUGAACUGAUUAUUAUUCUCAGGAGCUACAUUCAUCUCAGCUGAUCACUUCCUCCACAGCAGGGCCCCAGAUGGCACCCGUCACCAGCUGCAGUGACAGCAGCUGGACCUUCAUCCUGGAACAACAUGUAGUCCCUGCCUGACACUGAGCCGUGCUGUGGGGCAGUGGGACAGGGCUGUAUAGAGGGACAGAGGGGCAAGCAGCAUUGCAGAGGGCAGCACAGGCCUAGCAGGAGGGAGCCCAGGGGAUGAGGGCUUUGGAGGUCUUCUCUUUGCUGUUUUUCACCUGGGGGAAGCAGAGGCUGGAGCUGCUCUGGGACGGGUCUGUAGCCCUGAGGUCUGCAGGCAGCGCCGGCGGAGGGGCAGGUGGUGGCCCUGCCUGUCCUCAUGUGCCACCUAGCGGGACACCAGCGCAGCCCGCUGCAAAGCACUCGGGGAAAGCCGAAUUGUACAUAGCCUCACUUCUCCUUUUGCUGUUUGGACCCCACAUUCCCCUCAGCAGAGGAAGGGGACACAGGAUCAGGUUCCCUCCAGGACCAGGAUGCUCUGAGUGCAGUCCUCCUCAUCCUGGGCUGUGUGCGUGCACCCAGGACAGCAGGGAAAACCAUUCAGAAGCCUCCAACACCGUCACCUGGUUGCUUCCAAAGCUGCCUGGGGAGUCACACUUAAUAUGGGGAUGUUACACUCUCACUGAUUGCAUCUGCUUCCAGAAUCCACUCCAAAGGUCCGCCUCUGGGGGCAGCUGGAGCUCUCCCUCCCUUUCCUCAGGGCACUUAUUUGGUUGUACGGCAAACCCAAGAUGAGCAAACCUGGGGCACAUUACAGCAGGAAAUUCUGCAGUUUUGCACAAGGCUUGGGGCAAGCUGAAUUUCUCAAGAUACAAGAGAAAUCUGUGCAUGGUUUGCUAUAAAAUGCAUGCUGCCUGGGGACCCUGCCUGUCUGUGCAUCUUUCCCAGAGGGGCUGGGAACAGCACUCAGGCAAGGAGCUGGCAAGGGUCAAGGGUCCAAUCAGACACCUCAGAUGGGGCAAGAGUUGGCUAUGUGGGGCCUGCAGGCUGGAUGGCAGGCUGCGAUUCCUUACAGCCUGGUGGGACUUCAGCUGGAGGCAGCUAACAGCCUGGAAUAAAAGACAACGUAUUGGUUUGCUUACCUAUGGCAGAUGGAGUUCAGCUUUGAGGAGCCACUUCGAAAGUGAGAAAAUCUGUGGUGAGAUCUCCUUCAAGUGAGAUGCUGCCAUUCGAAGCUCUCAAUUUCAGGAUUUCCUAAUAACAAGGUGCCACAAGGAUGGAUAAAAUUCCUUAAAGCUGUGACAAAUGGCAGUCUUUUGGGCAGAAGACAGAUUUCCAACCUGUUCCACCACAUUAUCAGGCACCUGUUGGAGAAAGACCUGCUGAAAACCUCCAAGCUGCAAUAGGAAAUGCUCUGCCAGCAAACAAAAGUUUGCCAAAGAGGCCGCAUACAGCUGCUACAGCUUCUUGGGGCAACAAUUCUUGUUGCUGGUGGCUUCAGCUUUGUGGCAAGAAGCAUUUAUAUUCCUGCCCAGUGUGUUGGUGGGCCCUUCCCUGGGCUGGACCAUGGCUCCUGGAGGGCAUGCUGUAAUUAACACCAUCCAUCAUCAUCAGGAGCUGUGUGAUUAGGUUGUACCAGCAAAUUGCAUUACUCCCAGGAAGGGUGGGAUGUCCCUUUUGAAAAAUAGCCCCAUCAUUAGAUCUGAAGCAUCAGUGGGAAGCUAAGCCCAGCAGAUAAUCCUUUCAGAGCUGGCUGAUAUUCUCUCCAGGGCUUUCACAAAUUUGCUAGGAGAGAGCAGGAGGUGCACUUUGCUUCCUAGAGAAGGGCUCCCAGGGGCACCAGCACUGUCGUCCCACAGGUUCAGAGCCCACCUGGAGGUCACGAGGGCUCAGACAUGCCAGCAAUGGUAGACAGCAAUGAGAGCUUGUCUGAGCUGUGUUAACAGGGGAGUCUCUGUAGAGCUCAUUCUUCAAGGCAAGGUAGGGAAAAAGACUUGAUCCACUCCCCAUUUUUGGGGUGCUUUAGAAUCUCCUAAUCUCCUGCACACACCAAGCUUGCAUUCUACCCCAGUCUGAUCCUAUCCCUUUAAGGUUACUCCCAAGCUAUAGGAGGUUUGGCAAAACAGCCUGAACUUUUCUUUGAAACUCAUUUGGGCUCAUGGUCCCCCAGGGCUUUCCCAUUCCUCCACUAAGAAGAUUCAUGAUCUCUGCCGUGGAGUGAAGGGCACGGCUGUCCUCACUGGAUUGCGCCCACAGGGAGGGCAGGCUACCAUCAAUAACAAGGAACAAAGCAGGAGAUGGGGAGGGAAUCAAUUAGACUGAACCUUACCUGGAUGGCAUUUUGGGGGAGGACAUAGACAGCUUUGAAAUACAGGCAAGGAGCUGCUGGCUGCAGCUGGUUUCUAUUAACCUCUUCUGCAGCGGGCUGCAGACCUGUGGGAGCCCCAGCCAGAGUUUGGGAAGGUCAUUCUUAGGGGCUGUGCUUACGUUGCUCAUACAGCUCAGGAGAAGCCAUUCAGUGACCAAUACUGUGGAAAAAAACAACAGAUUGCAACAGGAAUUAGUUGGGCAGGAGGGGGGAUAGGUGGGCAUCAGUCUUCAGAGCACCAAUCUCCCACUUGCCAACAUCAUCUCCACGUUCUUCAGCAGGUGUUUAACGUGCGGAGCACUGCUGCACAGAUGCAGACAAGCUCCCACACUACUCUGGUUCCAGCUUUGGGGGUGUUUUCCAGGGAUUGACCCCUUUCCCCUUCCCCCAGAGCUCCAGCAGCCUGAAGAUGUGCAUUCAAUGAGCCGUUUUACUGGCAGCAGGUGACUAUCUCCAGCAGAGGAACUGGAGCUGCUCUGCAAAGCAUGCCAGUAACUGUGCUGCUAUGGGGACACACCAUGGGAAUUCGCCCAGGACUGGAUGUUCAGCACUAGGUACAGUGAAAUUAGAUUAACGUGUGCUUUGGGGAGGAAGUGAUGGGCUUGAUAGUGUCUGAAGGAGCAGGAAUCACUGGAGAAGGAUGGGUUUGGAUGGGUUUGUACACCAGGGCUUGCAGUGCUCGCUGAGCAGGGGGACACAUCAAAGGGGUGGCUGUGGUUUGGGAUUGGGAACAGUGCCUGCCUAUGCAGGACAAACACUCAUCCCUCUCACGUGUAGAGGCGAGCAGCAUUGGUGUGUGAGCUCACAGUGGCAGGAAACCUGGGCUGAUAGCUGUUAGUAACAGUGCUGAAAUAGCAAGGCAGUGUGGUUUUUAUUUCGGAGCGUUCGCUGCAUAGUCAGGGCUCAGAAAGACACAGCAGAAAACAAAAGAGGCGGGUUGGUAGAAUGCUAUUAGAGCCAUUAAUCACCAUUAAGAACUAAUAACUGUGUACUGCCUCCCUGGUGCUACUUGCUACCGCACCACCCAGCCCCAAUCCCCUGCUUUAUAACAGCUUCACACUCAACUCAGCUGCCAGAAAAACUUCCUGCCCUCUGUCUGAACCCACCGACUUGGCCCUAAAUCCCCACCCACAACCCACCAAUGUGAAACUUCCUCUUCCCACCACUUCUCUGCAGCAGCUUUGCCUUCAGGAGCACUGAGCCCAGUGAUUCUACCAGAUGGGAUGUUUUUUUUGUGCAGUACGGGUAGCUAGAUUAAUAGAUUAUUUUAAACUUCCCAUUAAAAAGCAUCCAAAUAAGUGCCUCAAAGCAAUUGAAUUAGCCUAGCUGCAGUCACACGAGGCUACUUCUGUAGAAAAGACAAAUUUGAGGCUCUCUCCAUCCAUCCAUCCACCCACUCAUCCAUCACCCACCCAUCCUUGGCCCACUCCUUUUCACAGUGCCGACAAGGACAGGGUAUUUUUCAGAGUCUCACAGACAGCAGCCCAGCAGAUGGCAGAUCUCUGCAACCCUGGCUGGAAUGGGGACAGUGUGAGGCUGGAGAGAAGAGACUGAAACAAUUCUAUUCCCACCAAAAAUAACGCCCAGAGCUGUUCACAGUCUUCAGUGCGUUCUUGUUUCUACUUGAGAUGCUGGAUUUUUGUGUGAUAGACACCAAAACAAUCAAAAUACAGAAGCAUUUCACAUUAUCUGAAUGGAUUUAGACUUCGGCUUUCUAUCAAUUAAUCAGUCAAUCAAUCAAUCUGUCAGAGACCUUUCCUGUAUUUCCUGUUGAGCCCUGGGUUAAAAAGCCAGCUUUGCAGUAGCAGUGCUGCUUGCUGCAUAUCCUCUGAGCUCUGAGCUCCUGAAAUUUUAAAUAUAUCUGUAUGUUUUGCUUUUAUUUCCAGCCUCUCCGCUGGUGGAGGAACCGUCAAGGUCAUAUUUAUAUUUAUUAGAUUCAUUGUAUUGGUUGCUGUGGAGUGCUGCUGUGACACCAGAACAAAUUGCUGUGCUGGGGAAGGACAGGAGAGGGACCGAGGAGUUAGGGCAGGGGGCAGGUGGGCACGGUGUGCUCCUGACCCACCGCCAUGGGAGGGCAGAGGGGGCUUUGCUCCGGCAUCAUCUCAGAUGGAGACCGCUUCGAGUCCUCGUCCCACUCUGGCUUCCUCUGUAGCAUGAACUGCUGUGCUUGGAAAUCUCAUCCACGGCAGAAGUCAGGAGAAAUUUUGGCAUUCCUUAAGGGGUUUUGGUCAUGAGAGAGGGGUAUAACAUUUCUGGUGAUCUUUGUGUGCAGUGCUCACCUUCCCCUUCCCCUCUAUCUGCAGCAUCCUCCAGACCCCCCAUAAAAGAGGGGGAGACUCUCCAGCAGACACUUGUUUCUCUCCCCAUGUGGGCUCCUUUGAGCCACGUGCCUGGGGUUGAUGAGGCUGCUGGCCAUAGAUGCAGAAGCCAAAAUCACUUUCCUCUGCCUGAAGCUCCUGGCAUCCCUAUCUGCCAGGGGAGUGAGAGGUCUAAAUCUCUUGUGCCUGCUUUUGGACGUUGAUUCUGAUUCAGCAAGCAGGCUGCUGCACUGCUUAAGUCAUAUCUGAGAAUCUCAAGGGGGCUUAUGGCCAACCUGCAGUCACCCUGGGGCGUUUCCACCAGCAAGAUGUUGUGGGAUGGAGGGCAAUUCCCUUACAAAAAGCUAAUGAUGAAUUCAGGGCAUAUUUAAAAAUCAAGGUUGAAGUGUUGCAGGGCUUUGGCACAAGGAGGACAAGGCACAGGUCCAUUGGCAAGCGCUCCAGCUCCUGGGUAGGAUUUGGGGAAGUGCUGGGGUUAUGGGGACACCCCACCCCUCCUGGUGCCUAGGGUGGCUGAUGGGAGCUUUGGGGCGCCGAGCUCUUGUAUACAGGUGGCAGCUCUUUCCCCUUGGGGGUGUUCACAUCCCAGAGGAGACGCUUGAGGCUUUGGCUUGAAACGGAUGAAGAUCAAAGCCUGCCCACAGACCUUCAUCCCAGCAGGCAGGAGGAAGAGGGAGAGGCAGACACAGAGGCAGCAGAUGCAGUGACCUUUGCAUCCUGUGUGAAAGGAAGCUGAAAGUCAAAUGCCAGCCCCACCAGGCAGCUCUGCAUCCCAACCUGCUGCUUGCCCCUGCUGCUGUGGCGUUCAGAGUUGCUGCGAGCCUAUAGCGGCCUUGGUUGGCUCCUGCUAUUCAUUUCAAUUGAUUUAUUUUUAGUUUUGUGGAAAGGAAGAAAGUGAUAAAUAAAUAAAUAACCUCCCACCCUGUCCCAACUCCUGGCAGGCUCCUUGUAGGCUGUCAUCUUGGUGGGGUGAUGGAAAAUAUCUCCACCCUUCCUCCUCCCCAGCAGCAUCCAGCAAGCCAUCCAUCACCCAGCCCUGGGAACAGGAGGUCUGCAGGGUCAGCGGCCAGCCCCCUGCUUCAGCUCAUCCCAUGGGGUUUGGCUGUAGGGUGAGAGCUGUAUUUUGGGAUGGUCUGCGCAUGGAGCAUCAGAAAGGAGCUAACUUGGGGAUGAAAAUGGGGGACAAGGAGGGAAAGGUGUCCCCCUCUUCUUGCUGGCCUGUAGGAAUCAGAGGAAGGGCACAGCCCUCUGCAGCAGCCGCAGCAGCUUCUGCCUGCACUGCAGUUUGCCAAGCACUGCUCUGCAUUUGCUGCAUUUGCUGCAGGAGCAGCCCCAAAAGCAGUAGCCCCAAAAACAAGGAUGAGCCCCGGGAGGACUCGUGGGGGGACAGCAAAAUGAAGACAGCAGGUCAACCUAGGGGCAGAUAUUGCUCUACCUCAUCAAAUAGAUGUGCCUGGGAGGAUUUCAAUUUAAGACAUAGCUUGCAGUGCAAUCUCAAACAGCUUUUGGUCCAGAACAGCCGUGAGGUGUUGCUCACAAAAUUUAGGAUGCUGCUACUGUAAUAAAUAACAACGGAGUCAAUCCUCACACUAAUUAGUGUUCAGUCUCAGUGGGGAGGAGGCAGGCAGUGGGUUGGUUCUGCACCUGCUGGAGCAUCUCUGCUGCAUCCCUGAAUGGCACAAAGUGCUGGGGACGCUGCAAGGAGCCAAGGCUGCUGUGGGGGGACCCUGCCUGGGGAUGCUCUGGGACCUUCAUCCAGAGCAACUCCUGGAGCAUUUCAGCACACCCUGUCCCCACCUUCCAUCUCAAAUCAUCCUAUCUCAGAUGGGUAGGAGCACCAUUCCCUCAGCCAGUAUUUCUCUAACUUAUAUCCUUAUGUCCUAUAUCAUGUAUAUCCUGCCAAAAUGAAGUCAUUCUUCUAAUUAUGCAGACAGAGGUGGGAGAGGGAGGGGUCCAGCUCCUCCGGUAGAGCAUUUAGUCCCACGCUGGCAUUUGGUCAGGGGAAAUCAAAGCACAGUUCAUCCUGUGAGACUGAGAGGGUUCUCAGCUAAAGCAUGAGCAGAGAGCAGAGGUUUGAGCAGAAACUCAGUGCUGGUGUCAUUUGGAAACGGUGAAAGAAGGAAAAAAUAUUGCAUCCUCCCCAGGCUUUACUUACAACACAAGUGAAGCACUGUGUUGGGGUCACUGGAGUUCUGCACUUCAACGGACCCUUUAAAAUAAAAAAAAAAAAAGAGCGGAUGUCAGCAAAUGUUGCCCUAAAGCCAGGAAAUCCUGAAUUAUUCUAAGAGGAGGUCAAAUGGAAACACUUUAAGAAAUGUCAGCAGAUGUCCUGUCACUUUCAGAAAGGUUUCCCCUCAUGUUCUGGACUGGAGCCUUGUGUCAGAUUUGAGCCCUCUCUGUAGGUCUUUAGGUGUCUCCACAUGGAAAAAAAUCCCAGCAGCUGGAGAUGCCCCCCAGCCCCAAGCAACGGUGAACCAGCAUGUGUCCCCUAGGUCUCCACCUCUGGCUGGAGCUGGUGGCACUCAGGGAAGGAGCACUUGCAAACCUUCUGCACGAUGCUUCUCUCUAUCUCACUGCUGGAGCUCCCAGAGCUGGUGCACUGGGGUAGCUGAUGCCUGGGGUAGGGCAGUUAGCAUGUGUCUUGUUUUUUCCCCUGUUAUAUACCAUAAGCAGGUGCGACGGCUUUUCCCACACCCAGGACCAUCCCCAGUGCUCUGAGCUACAUCUACAUUCAAGGAGAGGUGUUACCUGGACAGCUGGAAGGACACUGAUGAGGCACUGGCACAGACUGCCCAGAGAGAUGCCCCAUCCCUGAGAAGGUCAGGCUGGAUGGGGCUCUGAGCACCUGAUAGAGCUGUAAGUGUCCCGGUUCGUUGGAGAGGAGUUGGACCAGAUGGCCUUUAGGGGUUCUUUCCAACUCAAAUGGUUUUAUGAUUCUACGAUGACAUUGUCUUGUGCCACAUCUGGCACCUUCCCAAGAGUUCUUGGCUCUUGAAUUGCAGAGCUGGGAGUUUCCAGGAGGAGGAACACUGCAAACCCCCUGCAAUGAAACCACUCAAUCAAAACCAGCACCGCAAGAUCAACAUUUUGGGAACUGUUAGUCCCUCUGAGUUUAGAGCACGCCAAUGGCAGAUAACUCACAUCUGCUUCUGAAAGCAGGAGAUUAGCCUAAUUUAGCAUGAGCUCAGAUAUCAGCAACAAAAUCUAAUUACGAGGACAUGUCAGGCUCAUUGAUCACUUGAAAUGGCAACGCAAAAAGUUGGGCCAAUUGCAUAAUGACUGCAGAGUGCUUCCACCCUGUGCUGUUUUGCUAGGGGAAUUUGCUUCCCCAAUUAUCUUGUAUUGAUGGGAGCCCAGUGCCGUGCUGAUGAUGGCACGUACCUUGUUUUAUAUUAAAAAUACGUUUUGUGCUUGCUGGAAAUUACAAAAAGCAAUUCCAGAAAUACUGGAUGGAAAUGCAUUAGAUCCCAAGGGUUUCUGACAGGUAAUGGGAUGUCUGCAGCAGUUCUUGUAGGACUGAGUCCAGCGUCCCCAUGGAUGAUGUGGAGCUGCUCGCCCUCACGGCAUCAACACUUGAGCCCCACUGCUAAAGUGUUCAUCACAGCUGACAUUAAGUGACAGCAAUUGUUUCCUGGUGGCUUUUUGCUUCCCCAGGCCAGGAAGGCUCUUACUGCCUUGUUCUGUGCAGUGCCUGUGCACAAGGAGCAGUGCCUUCCAAGGGACGCCUGUCGGAGUGCAAAAAGAGGGAAAGCAGAAAGGAAAACAUUUUAAAAGAUAAAAUAAAGCUUAGUCAGUCAGGUACUGGUACGGAGUCAAGAUGCAUUUUGGAUGAGGGGCUGUUUUAUAGAUGGGCUGAUGUCUGCUCAGACAAGCGUGGAGCGUGAGGGAGUCAAUGAGGAUGGAGCAGCGCAGUAAUGGAUUUUCCUGUGUAUCACCACUGCUCCCGCAACGUCCAGCGAAGCAAAUGAUUGCGUCUGCAGCAUCAAUCAUUUAGCAUCGUUAGACAAGAAGCUCUGCCACAAGAUGAGCAUCUCAUGCUUGGAAAGCAAUUGGCUCGGCUUUACCUCAGCGCUGCUGCAGCAGGGGACCUGUUAUCCCUGGUGGCAGGGUUCCUGUUUGGGGAGCCCAGGUCAUGAGCCCUCCUUACUGCUCAGAUUAUUCACAGCCCUGAAAUAAUACCUGCCUGUGACCAGGCAGCCACCAUCCAUAAGGCACGGUCAGAAGCAUGAGCUAUUAUCCAGCCGCUGGCUCUUCUCAGGAAGCUCAUUUCCAUGCAGAAUUGCACCUUGUGCAAUAUAUCUGCGGGAGCGAUAGCUGAAUGCCUCCGCUUCAGGGAACAGGACCAAAAAAGUGAGUGAGAACUAUUGAUCUGGUUUUAAGGAGAGCUGUAUCUAUUAAUCUGGGAACACUAAUCACUGGGGGCUGACAGGAACAUGAGGUUUCCAGUGCCAUGCUGACACUCCUCAGCCUCUUGGGUGAAGCCUGAGGAUGACAAGCUGCUUUCCUGGAGCUGGGCAGGAAAGCCCAGCAGGAGGUCCCCGACAGCUACUUAGAUGGGAAGGGUAAUACCAAAGAGAUGGUCCUGGGGAGCCCUGAGGACAUUUGUCAUCUUGCAGUUAUCCCCACAAGCCUGAGCUGGACGUGGCAUUACAACAAAGGUGGCUGUCUGCCUCCUGGGAAGGGGGCAGGGGUGGUUAUUGCGUUAUUAUUUUCUUCUUUCAGUAUAGCAAAUAUGACAUAAUAAAGCUGAGAGCUGACUAAGAUAGGAAGCUUCUAAGGGAUGAAAAAGGCUGCAAAGAAACUCCUUGCCAGGUGAAUUUAAUUCUUGAUUUUUCAGGGCUGAGGUGUUCAGUGGCUGUGCUGCUGCCCUCUGAAUAGCAGCUCUCCCCUUGAGAACAUCAGCUGCUCCCCUGCAGUGGUUUGAUACCAUUUGCAAACUUUGGGCAAGCUCUCCUCCAGGUCAUUCCCUCCGCCAUGUUGUUUAUUACACGCAAGCCAGCACUGAGCAUUUUUACUUCGUGACUGUGCCAGCCGGAUGGGGCAGAGCACUCACAUCCUGAGCUGGAUGGGCAGAAUCAUUUCCACACAUUUGCAAGGUCAUUCAGGUGAACUCGGGUACCCUCCUCAAGGUAUUGAUGUGUUUCUAAGCCUUAAGGAGUCCUUUUUCCAAGAUGAGAUGUACAUUCAUCAUGCAUUUUUCAUAAAACCUAUCUAUAUUCAUUAAUUGGUUGUUAUGCUCCAGUUGAUGAAGAAUAGACCUCAAGGGUUUUGGCAAGGACUCUUUAGCUUUAAUGUCUUUAGUUCCUCCCUUUGCUCGGCAAUGGCUGGGAGAGGAGAACAGGGAGUAGCACGAAAGCUUUGCCUGUAGUUACCUCUCAAUAUCCUUCCUCUAUCUAAUAACAUCCUUCCUUGGAGAGCUAAGACGUGAUGGUCCAUAAGAAGCCAGCCCUCACCUCUCACCAGGGAAGUGGCCCCUGCCAUACUGGGGCUGAUAAAUAUGACAAAUGACAUCGUAUUUAUUUUACAACAAAGAGAGUGCUUCAGCUAUCUAGAGAUCAAAGCAUAUUAGCAUGUGGAUAAAAACUCCAGUGUUUGUGUAAUCCCUAAAUAGAUUUCUUUGGCUAGUAGCUGCAAGCUGCUACUCCCACCCGGCUCAUCAUCCUAAUGGGUAGGUGUCACGUCAAGGAGGAAGAGCUGUGAUUUAGCUGGUAGGUUAAUGAGAAAGUAGGAGGUGUAACUGGUUGCAUUUUUGGAUUUUUUUUUCUGCCCUACUCUGGACAAAAACCUCAUUACCUUGUGCACAAACCUGCUUAAUUCUGUGCAGCUUUGCAGCUUCUUCUUGCUUCAUGCUCCCAUCAGAGGACUGCUGUGUGCCGUGGUUGCCCCAGGCAGCUGAAGAUUUGCAGCCACCUAUGUGCUCCCAGCCAUCGAGGAGCAGCGAGAUCGGGGCUGCUCUCACAAGAAGGUGAAGCCAAGGUGGGACCUAUACCCUCAGCAUCCAACCAAGAUGGACACAACCUAGAGUCCAGGUCAUAUGGCAACACCAUGGUGAUGAUGGAGGUCCAAGGCAAAGCUGGGAACUCAUCCUGCAGGCUGAGGUCCACAUCAAGGAGCCCCAUGGCUAGGCAUAGGCUGAAGCCCAGCACUCCUGCAGUUCACAGUCUGGGAAACAUGCACAGAUAUGCUACCUUCUUAUUACUAAUGUUUAUUAAUUAAAGAUAGAGUUUACAGACUGCUUCUGCAAGUACCAUUCAUUCCCAUAAGACCUUUCGGGGUGACAGAGGUAUUCACCUCUGACCACCCCAUGCCUCCUCAUCCUUUGGGUACUGCUGUGGAACUUAGCCCAGUCUCCGUGUAGGAUGGAGCAGAGCGUGAGCGAUGCUGGAUAACUCCUGCCCUCCCAUCUUCUCCGGCAGCUCAGGGAUGUUGGCACCUGCCUUUGGCCACCACUGAGAGCCAUUUGUCUUGUGCUUCUGCAAGCGUGAAAUGCAAGGUGACAGCUUGACGUGCAGCAGCAGGAGGGAACGGCCCCCUCCUCCCCCCGCGCACGUCUUCUCUUCCAGGAGCCCUCAAGAAGCCAUCCUGGCAGUGCCUCCAGUCCUUCUGCUCAUGCCUCAUUUCCAACUCAUUCAUGCAGCCUGCCCACCAGACCCUUACCUAUCUGUAUGUCCCCAGAGGGGGAUCUGUGCUUACAGGGUCUGCUGCACACCAUGACUUUGGUCUCCAAAAUCAACAUUACAGCUGGGCUGAAGGACUCUGAGCUCCUCAUCCCAGGACCAGAGCAGCCCUGCCCAAACCAUUCCUAAUGCUGCAUCUGUCCAACUUGCUUUUAAAAUAUCCCACAGUCUCCUCCAGGUCUUGGGUUUAUGUGCCAGCCUGGUGGGGAGCACAUCAUGAUGCUCUCUAUGACUGCUUUGCAGGGUCUUCCCAUCAGGCUUUGACCAGCCUGAACCGCUGACCAGCCAUAGCUCUCUUUCUUCAGGAUGAGAGGUAAUGGUCUUAAGUUGGACCAGGGGAGGUUCAGAUUAGAUGUUAGGAAAAAUUUCUUCUCCAAAAGAGUGGUCAGGCAGUGGCACAGGCUGCCCAGGGAAGUGAUGGAGUCACCGUCACUGGAGGAGUUCAAGAAAUGUGGAGAUGUGGCACAGAGGGACAUGGUAUAGUGAUCAUGGUGGAGAUGGGUCAACGAUCAGGCUAGAUGGCCUUAGAGGUCUUUUCCAACCUUAAUGAUUCUAUGAUUCUGUGAUUCUAUGACUCUACGAUUCCUUCCUGCACAUGUUCGGAGGGAGUUGAACAUCUUCCCAGGGGACAGGACACCAAAGAAUGGGUCAGGCACAGCACAAAGUGUCUGAAGAGGAUGGUGCCCUUCUAUUGGCAUCUCUAGCACUCAAGUCCCAACAGCACAGUCCUCCCAUCAGGAUCAGAUCCAGCUGUGAGAUUUGGCCAGGACAAGCUGAAGACCAAGGGAUGCGGUUAGGUCUCCUUCAGUUCAGCCCUGCAGCCACUCAGCAGAGACAUGGCACUUCGUUUAAGAGGGAGCCAGGGCUGCAAAGCAUCGACCAUUUGGGUUUCUAUUUCCCAGCUGCUGGCGGCUCUGUGAAAAUGCACGGGGAGAAGGAAUAACAGGUCCUGAGCCCAGCACAUGUCCUGCAGCCUGGAAACACAGCCCUGAGAUCCCCAGCCCUUCUGCAAACCGUGGCCCUGCACUUUGCUGUUGUAUCAGACCACACUGCAGUGACCCUGGCCAGCACCACAGCCAGGAUUUCCUCAGCUGAGAGAGACCAGGGCAGACCUGACCGUGGUGCUUUACAGAUCCUACUGUUUUUCUGCUGCUGCGUAUGUUGGCUCUGAGAUGAGCUGUGCUGCUCUGUUAGAAUUUUUUCCCUGCUGCUCAAGUUGAUAGCUACAGUGAGGAGAUGUCUUCUCUGAUUUACACAUCCUCCUUAUGUGGGGUGGAGCUCGUGGUUAAAAAAAUCAUUUCUCACAGAGUUCUCUGCCUCAUUUUCCUUUGUCCCUGGUUGUGGUUGGCGUCUGAAAGGUCGGGGACAGAGACCUUCCCCUGCCCUGUGCUCAGCAGGGCUCCAUUGGUGCAAACCCACAAGUUCAACAACACUGUGCCCACGUCAUUUCCUGAGCACUGCCUUUUCCGGAGCUUUUGGUUUCAAAAGCAUUCCUCCGUGGUCAGAAGAAAUGCUAUGAAAACAUGCUUGUGCUUCCCAGUGCUUGGGUCGUGCUGCCCCAGCAUGCGAUGUGGGUCCUCUUGCUGUCCCCUGCACUACAGCCCCCAGCAGCUCCCAUCACCCGCUAAAGAGAUUUGCAGUGCUCACUGCCAACGGCUCCCCAAGUGUGGGCUGCGAAGAUUAAUGGCUCUGCUGCUCGCCUGCUCUGUGCGAACAUCGCUGAAGGGCAUCUAUGGGCUGAGCUGAUAAAGAGAGCUUAAUGGGAUGGAGUCCCUCCGUGUGAGGCUUCCAGCUGGGCUGAAUGUUCCACGAUGUCCUUACUGAUCUCCUUUGGGUGAUGGGGCGCUGCUUCAGCCUGAUGCUUUCUCUGCUGCCCCGGGUGGUGUCACACAUCCAACCACCGCAUGGUUCCCAUCCCCUGUGUUCUCCAGGCCCCCCUCUUGCCCAGCUCCAUUCCCCACUGCCCAUUUGACAUCCGAGGCAUGCUGUGACCCCACCUGCCAGCAUGACCCCUGCACCCUCCCGGUGUUGGUCACCCCAUACCAGCCUUCACUCUGACUGGGUCAUUCCUGCAGGAAAACCCACCUCUAUUCCCUUACAGAAAACCCUCUCUGCCUUCUCCCAGCUGCCCAAAGGUUUCUCCACAGCUCUAUCAGCCCCCAGCUCCGGUAUGUGGAGCUUCUCCUGGUGCAGAGCUGUGACCCUGAGAGUUUCUGUUCCAGCAUUUACCAGGCAGCUUCAGAGCUCAUUUUGCAAAAAGUUUUGGUAUCUCUUCUUUUAGUUGAUCAAAUAUCAAAAUACAUGUGCUUACAUGGUUUGUAUGUUAGUAACGGAGAGGUCUUUCUAAGGCAUUUCAGGAAGAUUUUGAGGCCUUAUGAACUCAUCGCUUCCCAGGUGAGCUUCUCCCCAGGGAGAGAGCAGAAAGCGUAAAUAGGAACUGAACCUUCCCUCAAAGUGGUAAUUGUGAUCUACUGACCCAAGAAGUACCUAUUGAUUGAGGUGAAGCCACAGAAGCUAUUUAGUUGCAAGAAAAAUAAAUUAAUUUCCGUCAGCUGAGGUCUCAGUGCACAGCAGUGUGUGACUGCUCCCCUCACAGCAUGCCCAACCUGCUCCCAAUCGCCUGCAGGAGAAAAUCCAGGUAAAAUUUGCCGUGCAAAAAGGGGAAAAGACGCUGCUGAGUGGCAGUCACCCGUAGUGCUGGAGACCAAAAUGUCACCUGGCAAUAAAAGCAUUCCUCUAAGUACUCCUUACUAACAAGGGAGGUAUUUACUGUGGCUGUCUCCUCUGGGCUGCUUGUUGAAAUGUUAAAGGGAUGUGCUCCUCCCCACUGCCCCUACUGCCUCCUCCCUCCUCUCUGGGCUCUGACUGUUUAAUCUGAUAUCUCUGAGCCACGAUCAGGGGCAGAUGUGACUGUAAGAAGGCCCAGAAAAAUCUUUUUAUUCUUGUCUUUCCCCCCUUGCUGCUGGCUGUGCUCCCAUCUCUGCUUCUGUUGGGGACUGAAGGUGUUGAGGGCGAGCAGCCCCCAUGCCACUUUGUCCUACCAGUCUUCAGCCCAUCUCGCACCACAGCACAGCUGAGAGAAAGGAAGAGGGACGCUGCACCUCAGGAAAGGCAAAAGCUGCCAACUGGCUGGGUGUUGUAUUGCCGUACCUGUGUGAUAGCGAGGCAUUACACUAAGAAUCUAUCACAAUCCAGCCAAUGGAUAUUAAUCCUGUGCCUCAUUGCAACGUAAAACUUCAAGUCAGUGAAAGAAAUGAUAAGGUCAAACCCAAACUGUUUGAUUUCACAUUGCAUUUGGCUCCAGCGAUGCAGAACAGAGGUGGCAAAAGACUUGCUUUGGUUUUCCUCCCUCCCUGUGGCAUUCUGCAAGAUGCCCCCAUGGCUCCGGGAAUUUGGGGGGGUCCCUAUGCAACCUCGAGGAAAAACCCACAGGUUAGAACAAAACCCAGCAUCAGAAAUAGAUGAAAGCAUUGACUGUGGGUGAGGUGGGUCCCAGGAGACCUGAGCUGUUGUCUCUAAUAAAAGAGCAUGGCAAAAAGCAUUAAACAGAGGAGCAGCUUAAUUUCCCUGCAGUGUUAGGGCUGCCGCUAACUGUAACUGAUGGGGUUAGUUAUAGACUGUAAUAUGUUUUCCUUGUGUAGCAAAGUCCCAUUGGGUUUUCUGGGUGUUAGUAUAACCGGAGCUGAGUGAUUUAGUCUCAGCUGAGCAGAAGAUGAUCACUCUCCCCCACUCUGCCUAUGAGGCCCAUCCAUCGCUGUGCAUGGAUCCUGCCCACGUCUCUCUCCAAUGGGUGAAACCUGGGCUUUUCCUCCUGUACAAGAUUGUUUUCUGGCUGAUUUGAGGUUUCUGGAAAGUUAAUUGAUCCCCAUUUUAAUCUCCUUGUGCUUGAACAAGAGACAUAGAUCAUUUUAAUUUCAGAAGAGGAAAAAUGAGUUUAUGUGACAUAACUCAGGCAGUGAUGUUCCUUUGGUACAGCAUCAGCAUCAUUAUAUCAAUUAAAUCAUGCUAUGCGUUACACCGAAGCAGGCUCCUUUACUUCUUGCUGGUUGCACAGUGAGUUAUUUGAUCAGAUACUGCAGUGCCUGAAGUGAAAUUGGGCAUUUCUGAGCUCCCGAAGUUCUGAACAUUACAGCAGCCCCCUUUGAACGCAUCGCUGCGGUUAUGGGCCAGGCAGCACUGGUGGGGCCAGCAUCUGAGGUGGCUUUUUGGAAUAUUUGAGAUGGGAAAAACGUCCGGAAAGUUCUUAGCAAGGACUGAAUUACAGUGCACGUGGUUAUUGAUCCCCAGUUUCUCCAAGCUCAGCCUUACAGAGACCACAGCAGCUCUGGCACUGAGAGCUGGGGGGAUGCCGAGGGGCCACCGUGGCAGCUCAUCCUGCAAUAUCCAUCUCCAUGGGGAAUUUGGCAAUUCAUUACAUCGAUGUAUGUGACAUUACACAUGCCUUACUUUACAACUGAGUUACUGAGGCAGCCUGGCAAAUCUCUGCAUCACUUUUGCGAAGCCGAGUGGUUCACUGCAGUGCUUUCUGAAGGGCAUUCCCAAGGCUUGUGCUAAAAUGACCCCAAUUCUUGCUCGUGUGUCUCGGUCACCUGCAAGUGCCUCGCCUGUGAGCUGAGAUCCUCCCCCCAGCCUGGGAGCACACUGCUGCCCUGGAGCAGUGCUCGGGAGAGCAUCCUUGGCUGGUGGCUGGGUGAAAUGCUUCUGAUUGGAAAUAGCUCUGACUUGACAGCCAAGAAAAGAGCAAAGAGGUGGGUUUCCUUGCAUGGGGCAUGACUCCAGCCAUAAAUCCAGUGAUGCUGGAGGGUACUUGAUGCAGUACAGUGCAAAGAACCUGGCCUUGACUGCAGCUUGAGAAUAGCAACAACCCACGUGCCUUCUGUGCCCAUCUCUGUGCUUCCCUUUGGGGUCACUGCUAAAAACCAUAGUUUCUCCUCCAUGAAAAGCAAAUGGACUUUUUCAUGUGCUCCAUAUUGGAAAAAAAAAAAAGACAUAUUGCAUUUCCCUAUGAAAAUCCUGCUAACUACAAAUGCCACACAACUAAUGUGAGGUUUACUACUGGGUACUGCUGACCACUUACUUCAUUACCGUGUGCCCAUUCAGUUCUAUUGAAUCAACAUCAGUAGUAGGAGACCCCAUCCAAAGGGAUGCAUUGGACCAACUAUGAACCCACAGAUGAAACCUGGUGGAAAAGCAAAACCCCCCAGUUUCACAGCCCGAUUCUCGUCUGAAGGGCUCUGCCCACAUCACCAGACUCAUCCCAACCCACCUGGCAGGACUCAGUGCUCAGAUCCUUGUGUUUUCUUUGCUGGACCAAUCCUGAUCAUUAUUAUUUGGGCCAUGCUUCCCAGGUUUUAAAUUAUUCUGUCUCAACUAGCUGGUGGCAUUUGUUACAUGUCAUGCAAUGUUCCUGGUAAUUAAUUGGUAUUUAAUUAAUUAAGGGAUAAUGGCAUUCAAUUAAGGGAUGCCUGUGGAAUGCUGUCACUGGGUAAUGAAUGGCUUCCUGCUGCUCAGGCAGAGCUGAGGCAUUUGUGGAAAGUAAAUAGAGAGGAGAAGCUGCAUCAUUGGUUCCCUUGGCAGAAGUCCUGAUGUGCCACCAUUGGCAGGGACGGUCACUGCCUGGAUGGUGGCAUCUCAGUGCUUCCAGCAGCUGCACAGCAACAGGGCUCCAUUCCCACACCCCUCGCCCGGGGAUCAGGGCAAGUCGAGCUUUUCCCCUGAUGGAUGUAAACUCAGUGUUGAUAUCCCCCAUGUAUAUGAAGGACUGUGGUAUCUGGUAGAAAACAGGCCUUGUGUCCUCUUGCCUUUGGAGCAGAGCACAGAGAAACUGUUCAUUUCCUGUGACGUGAAGACAAAUGAAAGUGGAUUUCUCAAGACAAACCAUCUUGAAUAAAGAGGGAUAAAUACUGAAGGAGAAACAAGAGUGAGUCACUUUGCUUACAAACACUCUGCGAUGCUGCGUGUGCUGCGGGUAUAAACAUUUCUGACCCUCCUUGCUUCCUCAGGCAUCCUUUUCACUGAGGGCCAUGCAGCUCUGCAUGGAACUGCAUGGAACCCCUUGGGAACUGGGUUAUUUCCAGGCAGAAUGGGGACCGUGAGGGCCGUGAGGGAGGUGGGCAUCCCUCUGAGUGGUGCCUUGCCCCACGCCCACAGCUCAGCACAGCCUCACAGCUCCCUGUUUCCCUCUCUGAGCCUUCCUGAGCUGCUGUACUCAGGGAGAUGCAAAGUGAACAUUGUGAAACACUGUAGUGCUUCAGUUCCCCGACAGCUUGCAGGUUUUCCCUAAAAAGCCCCAAGCCAUUUUUGUUUGGAGUGCACACUUCCAACUGAGAACUGCAAAACAAUUAAGGGGGAGAAAAUGCAAAUUGGACUUUCAUGGCUUGAUUGCUGACGCCUCCUAUAGAAGAACUGCCUGCUGGAUCUAAUUGUUUAUCCCAGCAGUGCAACGACACUAUUAAUAAUUUACUGUUUCUUUACAUUGCCUCCUUACACACAUUGUGUUUUCAUUAUUUUCUGGCACUCCUGCAUAACUGAUUUUUGCUUUCUAAUUCUGUUUCGUAUUUCAGCUGUAGUUGUGAAUGAGUACGAUGUGCACCUGUGCUCGCUGACCUCUCGGUAUUUUUGGAUGCUGGGGGUGAACUGUUUUUUUUUAGUGUAAGUGAAUGGGGCAGACACAGUGGGAUAUAUACACCUUCCUGAGACCUUUGGGAUGGAAGGUAAUGCGGAAACAUGAACUCUAAUUACAGCUCCAGCAAAGUCCACUUUCUAAUUAAUUGGAGAUUAAGUUAAAAAUAGAGCUGGUUAUGUAAAACGUAACUCGAAAGCCCUCGUCUACCUGGUUGCACAAUACCCAGGAGAAUGAUCCCUGCCAAUACUUAAUUAGAGGUAAACAUGCCCCAGGUGUGGCUUUUGAGGACACACAGCAGUUCUGCUGAGACCCAGUGGUGUGGGGCUGGCAAACCAUGCUCCAUCCGUAGGAAGAAGACCCCAAAGCUCCCCAAAAGCUCACCCAUCAGCUCACAUUCACCACUCGCAAGCCUGGAGGUCCCAAAAAGCUUUGAAGCCCAGCACGUGGUGGUUCCCCAAGGCAGCUUGCACCUCUCUGUCUCUACAAGUUCCUGUAAACACUUUCAUCGUGCCUGUAUAUAAAAGGAAGAAGAAUGCGGAUGCAGCCUCCAUGUCCAUCCCCCAAAAGGUCAAGCAAUUCGGCCCAACAAAACCUCAACAAACACUCAUUGGGCUUUUAAUUGAGUUGUUUUCGUUUCAUUCAAAAAAAAAACAAAAAAAAACCCAACGCACUGAAAUUCUUCUGUGGGUUUGUUGGGGUGGGAGGGCUGCCCUGCAUGCCCUGCAGUGUGCUUGCUGCUGGGGGUUCCUCCCUUAUCCUUCAUCAGUGGGAGGCUUGGAGACCACAGCUGGGACGGGAGGUGGCUCUCAGAGAUUCUAGGGGUCCAGAGAGGGGGAGACUGACAAUGGGAUUCUGUGGGAGACCGGUGACGCCUCAGGGCAGCCAGAGUCUGUGCUCUGCUGCUCGUCUUCCCUGCUCCUCUCAGGAUCUUGAAAUUCACUGCUUCUGAUUACUAGGGCCAAAGUUGCCAUUGACUACCACAGCCACAUCUGCUGCGUACUGUUAGUGGGCAGCAGAUCCAGCUGUGCAUCCACUUGGCCAAUCCAGCACCUCCAUCACAAGAACAUCCAUG
This 21507-nucleotide long non-coding RNA is filed under the name Gallus gallus (chicken). Its description in RNAcentral is "lncRNA (ENSGALG00010016208.1)". The record is from RNAcentral. Lineage: Eukaryota; Metazoa; Chordata; Aves; Galliformes; Phasianidae.